Acanthosepion pharaonis is the source of this 101-nucleotide non-coding RNA. The record is from the annotation of a GenBank genome assembly. Lineage: Eukaryota; Metazoa; Mollusca; Cephalopoda; Sepiida; Sepiidae.
GUAUUGAAACACCGGUUCUCCUACGAUCACCGAAGUUAAACAACGUCGAGCCUGCUCAAUUUUUAGAUGGGUGACCGUUUGUGAAUACCAGAUACUGUAAG